Molecule: ribosomal RNA, 403 nt
Filed under: Verrucomicrobiota bacterium
Lineage: Bacteria; Pseudomonadati; Verrucomicrobiota
Description: Verrucomicrobia bacterium partial 16S ribosomal RNA
Rfam family: Bacterial small subunit ribosomal RNA
Source: RNAcentral
UGGGGAAUAUUGCACAAUGGGGGAAACCCUGAUGCAGCGACGCCGCGUGAGCGAAGAAGGCUUUCGAGUCGUAAAGCUCUGUCCUAUGAGAAGAUAAUGACGGUAUCAUAGGAGGAAGCCCUGGCUAAAUACGUGCCAGCAGCCGCGGUAAUACGUAUGGGGCGAGCGUUGUCCGGAAUUAUUGGGCGUAAAGGGUACGUAGGCGGUUUUUUAAGUCAGGUGUCAAAGCGUGGAGCUUAACUCCAUUAAGCACUUGAAACUGAAAGACUUGAGUGAAGGAGAGGGAAGUGGAAUUCCUAGUGUAGCGGUGAAAUGCGUAGAUAUUAGGAGGAAUACCGGUGGCGAAGGCGACUUUCUGGACUUUUACUGACGCUCAGGUACGAAAGCGUGGGGAGCAAACAGG